Molecule: long non-coding RNA, 527 nt
Filed under: Bos taurus (domestic cattle)
Lineage: Eukaryota; Metazoa; Chordata; Mammalia; Artiodactyla; Bovidae
Description: long non-coding RNA NONBTAT024070
Source: RNAcentral
CCCCUCCCACCCUUGUAUUUUAAAGCAACUGACAAUUUUGAAGGACACCAAGACAGUAGGGCUUAGCUAAACAAUAUGGCAAUUAAAAUUGGCCCUCUUAAGAAAAUAAUCACAAUGGUUAUUGAAAAGAAUUGUCCUUUGAGCAAAACAGACGGCAUGAAAAGAAUCAUCAUGAAAGGAGCAUUAUAGCUUGCCUUCCAACAAAAGGAAGAAGGGGAUGUAUGUGAAAACAAUGGUACAGAAAGCUGGGGAGUCAGACUGAAAACAACAGAAAACCCUAGGCAAUAGAUUGCGCCAAUGAAAUGCAUCCCCUUGAAGAUAGCCAUUCAAACUCUUGUUUCAUAUUAGAAUAACUACCCCACCCCCAGCACCUGGAAGUGAAUCAUUGCAUAACCUUUUGUAAAAACUAGUUUAAUCAUUUUUCCAAGCUAAAAUCUCUCAAAAAGAGGGGAAUUUGUGAUGGAUCUCCUAGACAUCACAUAUUAGAGAUGAACCAAGCCAAUUGAUGGUCAAUGCCAUUUUAGAUU